Molecule: ribosomal RNA, 440 nt
Filed under: uncultured bacterium
Lineage: Bacteria
Description: partial 16S ribosomal RNA
Rfam family: Bacterial small subunit ribosomal RNA
Source: RNAcentral
CCUACGGGUGGCAGCAGUGGGGAAUAUUGCACAAUGGGGGAAACCCUGAUGCAGCGACGCCGCGUGAGUGAAGAAGUAUCUCGGUACGUAAAGCUCUAUCAGCGGGGAAGAAAAUGACGGUGAGUGACUGAGAAGCCCCGGCUAACUACGUGCCAGCAGCCGCGGUAAUACGUAGGGGGCACGCGUUAUCCCGAUUUACUGGGUGUAAAGGGAGCGUAGACGGCAGCGCAAGUCUGGAGUGAAAUCGCGGGGCUUAACCCCGGAACUGCUUUGGAAACUGUGCGGCUGGAGUGCAGGAGGGGUAAGCGGAACUCCUAGUGUAGCGGUGAAAUGCGUAGAUAUUAGGAGGAACACCGGUGGCGAAGGCGGCCGACUGGACUGUAACUGACGUUGAGGCUCGAAAGCGUGGGGAGCAAACAGGAUUAGAUACCCCAGUAGUC